RNAcentral lists this long non-coding RNA (341 nucleotides) under Arabidopsis lyrata. RNAcentral's name for it is "long non-coding RNA (ALYR_LNC000231)". Lineage: Eukaryota; Viridiplantae; Streptophyta; Magnoliopsida; Brassicales; Brassicaceae. The record is from RNAcentral.
GACACAACAGUAUCAAAUUCCUUUUAAACAGAUCAAAUCAGACCCAUAAACACAGAAAACAUGAACCCUAGAAUCUGAAAAGUUCAAACAAGUCUAAGAAGGUGAAAAGUUCACGUUUUCCAAAUCGCACGAUUGAGUACAGAAUCCUAUAGUUCAGAACGUGAAUAAAACGAUUUAACAAGUUUCGUUACGAUCCGAUAAGUAUUCAAGCGUGAAACGACGAACGAAUUUUGACAAACAGAGAAUACCAAGAGUUUAGAAUAACACAACCUGAUACAAAGUUGCUCUGAUACCACGUGAUGCGAUCUUGGGUGAGAAGAUCCAGUCCCUUGAAGUCUCUU